UAACUUUUUUAUUUUACCAUUGUGUAGAAAAAUGACAGGAAUAUACUUAAAGACCCAUAGUACGUAGUCAAUCUGAAAGGACACACCUGGGACCAGGGGAAGGAAGGGAUGGGAUUGGAGGGAAGAUCUACUUUUCACUGAAUUUUUCAAGGGCAGUUUGAAAUUUUGCAGUGUUCAUGAAUAACCUAUUGAAAAAUGCACUUAAAGGAAAAAAAUUAACUUUUUUGUUUAUUCAACUAACACUUUAAGUACAUACUAUAUUUCAUGCACUGCUAGGCCCUGGAACUAAAGGCAGACACUGUUCUAAAGGAGCACACAGAUUUUGGAAGAGGAGAUGCAAGACAGAGUUAAAAGUGUCAGGAUAGGUUAUCUAGAGAAGAUGAUGUCUGACCCAGAAAUAUGAAGGAAGAGUUUGUCAAGAGGACAGAAGGUGGGGGAAGGGAACUGAAGUUUAGGCGCAAGAAACAAUGUGCAAAGGUCCUGGAUCUGUUCAGGGAAUAUGAAGUUGCAUAAGGAAGCUUAUUUGCUAACCCAUAGCCUCUAAUGUUGGCAGUGGAAGGAGAGCCAUUGCUAGGGCAGAAGUGACUGGGGUUUAGUGGCUCUGGUUCCUGUUGCCUAAUAUUUUCCUCUCCCUUUUAGGAUCUGUCAUUCUACCGAAACCUUCAUGCUGGGCUGGCAGUACUUCAUUGCUACAUGGUUUGAAUGGCCUUUCCAAACGUCAACUCACAGCAGCGUCAGAAGAAUCCUCACAGACGUCUGAGAAAUCUUCGUUCUAUGGACCCUCCUUUGCAAGCAACUUUCUAGCCAAGUGCGCAUCGGUCAAAGGCAAACUCUGAAUUGAGCUUUGUGCCAGUCUCUGGA
This 861-nucleotide long non-coding RNA is filed under the name Delphinapterus leucas (beluga whale). Its description in RNAcentral is "lncRNA (ENSDLEG00000014515.1)". Lineage: Eukaryota; Metazoa; Chordata; Mammalia; Artiodactyla; Monodontidae. The record is from RNAcentral.